AUACGUAGGGGGCGAGCGUUGUCCGGAAUGAUUGGGCGUAAAGGGCGCGUAGGCGGCCUGUUAAGUCUGGAGUGAAAGUCCUGUUUUCAAGAUGGGAAUUGCUUUGGAUACUGAUGGGCUUGAGUGCAGGAGAGGUUAUCGGAAUUCCCGGUGUAGCGGUGAAAUGCGUAGAGAUCGGGAGGAACACCAGUGGCGAAGGCGGGUAACUGGACUGCAACUGACGCUGAGGCGCGAAAGUGUGGGGAGCAAACAGGAUUAGAUACCCUGGUAGUCCACAUUGUAAACGAUGAAUGCUAGGUGUAAGAGGUAUCGACCCCUUUUGUGCCGGAGUUAACACAAUAAGCAUUCCGCCUGGGGAGUACGGCCGCAAGGUUGGAACUCAAAUGAAUUGACGGG
This 396-nucleotide ribosomal RNA is filed under the name uncultured bacterium. RNAcentral describes it as "partial 16S ribosomal RNA". It matches the Rfam family "Bacterial small subunit ribosomal RNA", at positions 523 to 917 of the family's 1533-position model. The record is from RNAcentral.